CCUGGCUCAGGAUGAACGCUAGCGGCAGGCUUAACACAUGCAAGUCGAGGGGUAUAUGUCUUCGGAUAUAGAGACCGGCGCACGGGUGCGUAACGCGUAUGCAAUCUACCUUUUACAGAGGGAUAGCCCAGAGAAAUUUGGAUUAAUACCUCAUAGUAUAGUGACUCGGCAUCGAGAUACUAUUAAAGUCACAACGGUAAAAGAUGAGCAUGCGUCCCAUUAGCUAGUUGGUAAGGUAACGGCUUACCAAGGCUACGAUGGGUAGGGGUCCUGAGAGGGAGAUCCCCCACACUGGUACUGAGACACGGACCAGACUCCUACGGGAGGCAGCAGUGAGGAAUAUUGGACAAUGGGCGCAAGCCUGAUCCAGCCAUGCCGCGUGCAGGAUGAAGGUCCUAUGGAUUGUAAACUGCUUUUGUACGAGAAGAAACACUCCNACGUGUNGGAGCUUGACGGUAUCGUAAGAAUAAGGAUCGGCUAACUCCGUGCCAGCAGCCGCGGUAAUACGGAGGAUCCAAGCGUUAUCCGGAAUCAUUGGGUUUAAAGGGUCCGUAGGCGGUUUAGUAAGUCAGUGGUGAAAGCCCAUCGCUCAACGGUGGAACGGCCAUUGAUACUGCUAAACUUGAAUUAUUAGGAAGUAACUAGAAUAUGUAGUGUAGCGGUGAAAUGCUUAGAGAUUACAUGGAAUACCAAUUGCGAAGGCAGGUUACUACUAAUGGAUUGACGCUGAUGGACGAAAGCGUGGGUAGCGAACAGGAUUAGAUACCCUGGUAGUCCACGCCGUAAACGAUGGAUACUAGCUGUUGGGAGCAAUCUCAGUGGCUAAGCGAAAGUGAUA
RNAcentral lists this ribosomal RNA (838 nucleotides) under Flavobacterium sp. AKB-2008-JO36. Its description in RNAcentral is "bacterial SSU rRNA". It matches the Rfam family "Bacterial small subunit ribosomal RNA", at positions 18 to 862 of the family's 1533-position model. Lineage: Bacteria; Pseudomonadati; Bacteroidota; Flavobacteriia; Flavobacteriales; Flavobacteriaceae. The record is from RNAcentral.